UGAUGCAGGGUCAAAAGCCUGAACCCACGAUGUGCUUGCACAUAAGUGGGUUUAUGGCUUAGUGACCCGCCCGAUAUGAGCAUAAAAGUGGAGCGUAAGCUUCAUGAUACGCGGAUAUUGGGGUGAAUUGCAGGAACACGAAGUACGGAACAAUUCGUAUGGCAUCU
RNAcentral lists this small RNA (167 nucleotides) under Dorea sp. CAG:105. RNAcentral's name for it is "Clostridiales-1 RNA". It matches the Rfam family "Clostridiales-1 RNA". The record is from Rfam by way of RNAcentral. Lineage: Bacteria; Bacillati; Bacillota; Clostridia; Lachnospirales; Lachnospiraceae.